RNAcentral lists this ribosomal RNA (276 nucleotides) under uncultured prokaryote. Its description in RNAcentral is "partial 16S ribosomal RNA". It matches the Rfam family "Bacterial small subunit ribosomal RNA", at positions 524 to 800 of the family's 1533-position model. The record is from RNAcentral.
UACGUAGGGGCGAGCGUUGUCCGGAAUUACUGGGCGUAAAGGGCGCGUAGGCGGCCUUAUAAGUUUCGUGUGGAAGUCCAUUUUUCAAGGAUGGAAGUGCUACAGAAACUGCGGAGCUUGAGUGCAGGAGAGGUUAUCGGAAUUCCCGGUGUAGCGGUGAAAUGCGUAGAGAUCGGGAGGAACACCAGUGGCGAAGGCGGGUAACUGGACUGCAACUGACGCUGAGGCGCGAAAGUGUGGGGAGCAAACAGGAUUAGAUACCCCUGUAGUCCCUGA